CAGGCACUGGGCUAGUUGCAGCAGAGACAAUGGAGAAUAAGACAAACAUGGUAGUUAUUCACCUAGAGGUCAGAGUUCUCUGAACAUCACAGGCUCUGGACGCACAGGCUCAGCGGCCAUGGCUCACGGGCCUAGCCGCUCCACGGCAUGUGGGAUCUUCCCGGAUUGGGGCACGAACCCGUGUCCCCUGCAUCGGCAGGCGGACUCUCAACGACUGCGCCACCAGGGAAGCCCUAACAUGAGGUCUUAAAAGAUGUUGGGACUUUGGCCUUGAUCCCCUUUGGAUCACUCACUCUGGGAGAAGCCAGCUGCCAUAGCAAGGGGACGUUCAAGCAGCCUAUGGAGGAGACUAUGUAAGAUGAAGUCAAGGCCUCCUGCCAAUGGCCAUUACCAAUUUGCUGGCCAUAUGAGGGACCUACCUUGGAAGCAAAUCCUUCAGCCCCAAUCAAGAUUUCAGAUGACUGGAAUUCCAGUCACCAUAUUGACUGCAACCUUGUGAGAGAUUCUGUGACAGAAACACCCAGCCAGUUCUCUCCAAUAUUUCUCAUGCAUGCAAACUGUAAUAGAUAUUAAAUGUUUACUGUUGUUUUAA
Long non-coding RNA from Lagenorhynchus albirostris (white-beaked dolphin), 592 nucleotides. RefSeq lists it as uncharacterized. The record is from RefSeq and is a predicted model, not a curated record. NCBI's taxonomy places the organism in Eukaryota, Metazoa, Chordata, Mammalia, Artiodactyla, Delphinidae. The transcript has 2 exons.